GCAAAGACUCCAGGAGUUGGU
RNAcentral lists this unclassified non-coding RNA (21 nucleotides) under Mus musculus (house mouse). RNAcentral describes it as "oocyte_clustered_small_RNA5801". Lineage: Eukaryota; Metazoa; Chordata; Mammalia; Rodentia; Muridae. The record is from RNAcentral.